CUCCUUGACGUUAGCGGCGGACGGGUAGUAACACGUGGGUAACCUACCUAUAAGACUGGGAUAACUUCGGGAAACCGGAGCUAAUACCGGAUAAUAUUUCGAACCGCAUGGUUCGAUAGUGAAAGGUGGUUUUGCUAUCACUUAUAGAUGGACCCGCGCCGUAUUAGCUAGUUGGUAAGGUAACGGCUUACCAAGGCGACGAUACGUAGCCGACCUGAGAGGGUGAUCGGCCACACUGGAACUGAGACACGGUCCAGACUCCUACGGGAGGCAGCAGCU
Molecule: ribosomal RNA, 279 nt
Filed under: uncultured Staphylococcus sp.
Lineage: Bacteria; Bacillati; Bacillota; Bacilli; Caryophanales; Staphylococcaceae
Description: partial 16S ribosomal RNA
Rfam family: Bacterial small subunit ribosomal RNA
Source: RNAcentral